This 465-nucleotide ribosomal RNA is filed under the name uncultured bacterium. RNAcentral's name for it is "partial 16S ribosomal RNA". It matches the Rfam family "Bacterial small subunit ribosomal RNA", at positions 28 to 507 of the family's 1533-position model. The record is from RNAcentral.
GACGAACGCUGGCGGCGUGCUUAACACAUGCAAGUCGUACGGUAAGGCCCUUUCGGGGGUACACGAGUGGCGAACGGGUGAGUAACACGUGAGUAACCUGCCCACAACUUUGGGAUAACGCUAGGAAACUGGUGCUAAUACUGGAUAUGUGCUCCUGCUGCAUGGUGGGGGUUGGAAAGCUCCGGCGGUUGUGGAUGGACUCGCGGCCUAUCAGCUUGUUGGUGGGGUAGUGGCCUACCAAGGCGGCGACGGGUAGCCGGCCUGAGAGGGUGACCGGCCACAUUGGGACUGAGAUACGGCCCAGACUCCUACGGGAGGCAGCAGUGGGGAAUAUUGCACAAUGGGCGCAAGCCAGAUGCAGCAACGCCGCGGGCGGGAUGACGGCCUUCGGGUUGUAAACCGCUUUCAGCAGGGACGAAGCUUUUUGUGACGGUACCUGCAGAAGAAGCACCGGCUAACUACGUG